Long non-coding RNA from Ostrinia nubilalis (European corn borer), 1118 nucleotides. RefSeq lists it as uncharacterized. NCBI's taxonomy places the organism in Eukaryota, Metazoa, Arthropoda, Insecta, Lepidoptera, Crambidae. The record is from RefSeq and is a predicted model, not a curated record. The transcript is spliced from 2 exons.
UGUAGCAAGGGUAGAUUUCCCUGUCUGUGGGCUAAUGUGCUCCUCCCCACGCUGCAUGCCGCGAAAAUUAUAAAAAAAAAGCUGUGACGUUUCCGGUGAGGCGGUGAAAUUUUUUGACAGUGACAGACAGACAAGAAAAUCAAGCGCCAGACGAGCCAACAAAGCAUUUUUGUCCAAUUUUUAUUGAAGAAAGAAGAAUCGAAGUUAUCCCCUGAAAAAUAUACUAAAGAGGAGCUUUACACUGUUCAAGGACAAGCAAUCGCAUUAUUCUCUUUAACGUGGUGAAACGUUCUAGUAAUCACAAUGCCGGCUAGCAACAUCGAUUUGUACCGAAUGCAAGACGCCCGAAAUAAUUUUGACGCCAUGCGACCUGCUCCUGUUUGCACUGAUGCCAAUCAUUAUAUGGGCCAAUGUCAGCAGAACAUACAUAUAUCAACAAAUUGUUACUACGGUUAUCACGAUCCAAAGGUAUCGGAAAAUGUCCACGUAAAUACCGAUUGCGAAAUGUUAGAAGAACCGCAUGGUAACAACAUAGCGUCACCGCCACAAACACAGACGAUACAACCAAACACAAGAAAACGGAGUGCAGAUGACACCGAAAUGCCGCAAAAUAAACGUUUUCGAGAAGAGGGUAUGGUGCCGUCGCCUUCAACCUACAAUCCAUGUUUACUACGUCCAACCCACAACAAUCCAGAUAUAUCUCGUUGUCUCAUGGUCCAUAUGAUAUAGUCUCUGAACUUAUUGGCAAAGUAAUAAAUUACUUAAAUAAAAAAAUCUAUUACUAGAUUUUUUCUUCACUGAGCAAUUUCCAUUUUAUCUACAGAAGUACAAAAAGAGAAAACCAAUGCACCUGAGACAACCGAGAUCAAGAAUUCAAACAAGAGUAUUGAAGAUGCGCUGGAGUCGCUGUACUGGAACACACAUGGCGGGAACAUUUAUCAAUUCCUACAGUGUCUUUGACGAAAUAUAUUUCAUGUAAUAGUUUAAGAAAAAUGUGAUCAAGUGCCACUGACUUUAUGGGACACUAAAACGUGAAAAUGUGACUAAAUUUUAUGAGUAGUUAAGGUUAACAAAGUUUUUUGAUUAUAAGGGUUUGCUAAUAAACAUCUAUGUAGGAA